GGAGAAUCCCUUGAACCUGGGAGGUGGAGGUUGCAGUGAGCCGAGAUCGUGUCAUUCCACUCCAACCUGGGCCACAGAGUGAGACUCCGUCUCAAAAAACAAAACAAAACAAAACAAACAACCUAUAUUCAAAUGCAAAGGAAAGAGGGAAAGACUUUUAAAAAGAAAAAAAAAGACCAACAUAUAAUAAAUUACGAAUGUCAUAUGGCAGCAAGCUCUUCAUGUUACUUUCCUUUCCAUUUAGACCCAGUUAAUGUAUCUAUAUUACGUAUGUUUAAUGUGUAUGGACACACACACACACACACACACACACACACACCAUAAAAGAUUAAGAAGUAUGCCUAAAUUUUAAGUGGUAUGAUUUAUAUUUUUUUCAUACUUUUAUUUUCUAAAUUUUCCAGUUAUUACUCUUAGAAAGUUAGAAAGUUAGAGACCAAAAAAACCAAUUCCCUUAUAAUUAUAUAUAUAUAAUGAUUCCCCAAAGCCUCUUAUUUUGAGUUCUUUCUUUGUAUUCAUUUUCAGGCAAUAUUUAUUGAGUGUCUAGUCUGUGCCUGAAAUGUAUUUUAUAUGAACUUCUCUUAUAACAAGAUGUUCUUAUGUCUUAUUUAUAUUCUCAUAGUCUCCCCUGAACCUGAUUAUAAACAGCAUUUUUCUUUUUCUUGUUUUUUCUUUUUCAAUCAUUUGUUGAAUAUCACCCAUGUGUUGGUCACUCUUUUAGGAAGGCAUUAAAAAGAAAUGUGACAGAAAGUUAGCACUGUCCCUAUUGCAGGGGAGAGAUAAGCAUGUAAAUACCAAAACCGGGCCAAGAAGCUUGAUAUAGAAAUGUGCACCAUGCUACCCCACUCAAAGGAGAGAAAGAACUAACUAUCAGAGAGAACUGGGGAGAAACUUUUCUACAGAGGUGACAUUUCAACUAGGCCUUGAAUGACAGGUCAAAUGAUCUUAGAUGAAAAGGGAGGAGGGGGCUGGUGAGAAGGAAGAGGCUGGCAGGGGAGGAGGAGGCUGGCAGAAGAGGGGGAGACUGGCAGGGAAGAGGGGGGUGGCAGGACAGAAGGUUGGCAGGGAGGAGGAAGCUGACAGGAGAGGAGGAGGUUGGUAGGGAGAAAGAGGCUGGCAGGAAGGAGGAGGCUUGCAGGGAGCAGGAGGCUGGCAGGAGAGGAGGAGGUUGGCAGGGAGAAAGAGGCUGGCAGGAGAGGAGGAGGUUGGCAGGGAGGAGGAGGCUGGCAGGAGAGGAGGCGGCCGAUGGGGGAGGAGGAGGCUGGCAGAGAGAAAGAGGCUGGGCAGGGAGGAGGAGGUUGGCAGGGAGGAGGCGGCUUGCAGAUGAGAAGGCUGGCAGGUACUACAAUCUGGUUUUGAAGUUGCCCAAAGAAACUUGAAUGGCUUCCUCUUUCAUUCCCACAAGGCUCUGAAAACACUGCUGCUGAUCCGCUGUCUUCACUCCUAUCUCACCCUGGCAUAACUGCACUCUACUCAAACUCUAUCUGGAAGGAGCAGAGCUCAGGGGUUCUGACCCCACAGAAUGGGCUCCAGGCACUAAGAGCUGAACAACACAGAACACCUGUUCCAUGUCGAGUUGGUUAUCAUUUUAUACUUUUCUAAAAACCUCAAGGAAGAUCUUCAACAUAAGCCCUGGCAUAAGACAUUUUCUAUGUAUUCAAAAUAAGAAAAGGAAAUGGUGAAUAUAUUGACAAGUAGCAAUUUGAAUUAUAAUGAC
Molecule: long non-coding RNA, 1714 nt
Filed under: Homo sapiens (human)
Lineage: Eukaryota; Metazoa; Chordata; Mammalia; Primates; Hominidae
Description: HSALNT0214760
Source: RNAcentral